CAAGAGUUACAACUUUUUUU
RNAcentral lists this small nuclear RNA (20 nucleotides) under Arabidopsis thaliana (thale cress). Its description in RNAcentral is "snRNA_17649". Lineage: Eukaryota; Viridiplantae; Streptophyta; Magnoliopsida; Brassicales; Brassicaceae. The record is from RNAcentral.